This 465-nucleotide ribosomal RNA is filed under the name uncultured bacterium. RNAcentral describes it as "partial 16S ribosomal RNA". It matches the Rfam family "Bacterial small subunit ribosomal RNA", at positions 338 to 795 of the family's 1533-position model. The record is from RNAcentral.
CCUACGGGAGGCAGCAGUAGGGAAUUUUCGUCAAUGGGCGCAAGCCUGAACGAGCGAUGCCGCGUGAGUGAAGAAGGCCUUCGGGUCGUAAAGCUCUGUUGCUGGGGAAAAAAGGCAGCAUCAGUAACUGUUUGCUGACUGAUGGUGCCCCGCCAGAAAGUCACGGCUAACUACGUGCCAGCAGCCGCGGUAAUACGUAGGUGGCGAGCGUUAUCCGGAAUGGUUGGGCGUAAAGGGUGCGCAGGCGGUCCUGUAAGUCUGGAGUGAAAGGCAUGGGCUCAACCCAUGCAUGGCUUUGGAAACUGGAGGACUGGAGAGCAGGAGAGGGCGGUGGAACUCCAUGUGUAGCGGUAAAAUGCGUAGAUAUAUGGAAGAACACCAGUGGCGAAGGCGGCCGCCUGGCCUGUUGCUGACGCGGAGGCACGAAAGCGUGGGGAGCAAAUAGGAUUAGAUACCCGUGUAGUC